Molecule: ribosomal RNA, 494 nt
Filed under: uncultured bacterium
Lineage: Bacteria
Description: partial 16S ribosomal RNA
Rfam family: Bacterial small subunit ribosomal RNA
Source: RNAcentral
GACGAACGCUGGCGGCGUGCUUAACACAUGCAAGUCGAACGGAAAGGCCUGCUUUCCCUUGUGGAUUGCGGGUACUCGAGUGGCGAACGGGUGAGUAACACGUGAGUGAUCUGCCCCCAACUUGGGUAUAAGCCUGGGAAACUGGGUCUAAUUCCCGAUAGGACUGCAGGGUGGUGCCUGUGGUGGAAAACGAUUUUCUAGUGGUUGGGGAUGAGCUCGCGGCCUAUCAGCUUGUUGGUGGGGUAAUGGCCUACCAAGGCGGCGACGGGUAGCCGGCCUGAGAGGGUGGACGGCCACAUUGGGACUGAGAUACGGCCCAGACUCCUACGGGAGGCAGCAGUGGGAAAUAUUGCACAAUGGGCGGAAGCCUGAUGCAGCGACGCCGCGUGGGGGAUGACGGCCUUCGGGUUGUAAACUCCUUUCGACCGCGAGGAAGCCACCUGGUUGGAAGGGUGGUGACGGUAGUGGUAGAAGAAGCACCGGCUAACUACGUG